RNAcentral lists this transfer RNA (72 nucleotides) under Ornithorhynchus anatinus (platypus). It matches the Rfam family "tRNA". From Rfam's summary of the family: Transfer RNA (tRNA) molecules are approximately 80 nucleotides in length. Their secondary structure includes four short double-helical elements and three loops (D, anti-codon, and T loops). Lineage: Eukaryota; Metazoa; Chordata; Mammalia; Monotremata; Ornithorhynchidae. The record is from Rfam by way of RNAcentral.
AGCAGCGUGGCUCAGUGGAGAGAGCCUGGGCUUUGGAGUCAGGGGUCAUGGGUUCGAAUCCCAACUCUGCCA